GGCUGGUGCCCCGGGUGCGGGACAGGGGCUGUGCCGGGUGGGAGCUGGGGGUGCAGACAGGGGCCGGGGCCUGUGUGUGGGUGACAGCUCUGCUGCCCCUGCUGCCCCACGGCCGGGGGUUGUGGCACAGUCUGUGCGAUGGACACACUGUUGUACCAGACGGGCUGGGCAUGUGCCAGGCUGCGACGUGCCCCCGGCUCUGCGUUUGGCAAGGCCCGGUGGGGCUUUGCCCUUCUCCCCUGCACACCAAGGGGGGGUGUGUGCCAGGCUGCGACGUGCCCCCGGCUCUGCGUUUGGCAAGGCCCGGUGGGGCUUUCCCCUUCUCCCCUGCACACCGGGGCGGGGGUGCGUGUGCCAGGCUGCGACGUGCCCCCGGCUCUGCGUUUGGCAAGGCCCGGUGCGGCUUUGCCCUUCUCCCCUGCACACCGGGGCGGGGGUGCGUGUGCCAGGCUGCGACGUGCCCCCGGCUCUGCAUUUGGCAAAGCCCGGUGUGGCUUUGCCCGUCUCACGGUGGAACUGCCAGGGACUGGCACGAGGUGCUGCCCGGCCGGGAGUGGCUCCUUCACUUGGUUUCUCUCCAGUCCUGUGCGGUGCUCAUAGCGUGGGGUGCCCAGCGUCCCUGGAAGCCCCAGAUCCUGGAGUCAGGGCUUGCGGGCGGCACCUCUUGCUUUCCCUUCCCAAAGUUUCUAGCCCUGCAGGCUGUGGGCGCGGCCUGGCAGCGUGCCCGACAGAGGCCCACGCGCGGAUGAGACGCUCUCGUGGCCGGCAGCCCCAUCUCGGGAAUUUGGAGUCUCGUGAAUGUGGACCAUGUGGCCAGCCAGGCUUUCCCGGCGGGACUUGGGCGGUCGCCUGGCCCAGUGCGAGCUGCUCGCGCCAUUCCCCAGAGCGCCCUGACUUACCCCCGUCUCCAUCCCCGGCUGGCCCCCUUCUGCGCCAGCAUCGGGCUUUCUUCCAGCCCCAGGCGAGGAAAUUCCCUGCCCCUCUGCUCGCUUGGUCCCGCUCCGAGCCGUGUUUCCAGCCGGCCACGCCCCUGGUGUCACCCCGCUGGGAUUAGAAAAACCGUAGGAAAUUCUCAGCCCAACAACUUGGUGUGGCUGGGCGAGUUUGUGGGCUGGGGGUUGUGUACGUCUCUGUCUGUUGUAUACACCCCCUCGUUUGGGCAAGUACUGAGAGCAUUUGGCUUGUGUGUGUGUGUUACACUCGCACAUAGUGUGUAGUGUGGUAUGUUACACUGUGGGCGUGUGUAGAGACAGUAUAUUAUAUAUCUUCUGGGCGUGUUGAUGGCAGUGUGUUGUGCUGUCUCUAGAUACGCACAUGGGUGUAUAUAGCAUACUGUGCAGAUGGCUGUAUAGAUAGUGUGCUAUAUGCAAACCUUGUGUGUGAGUAUGUAGACAAUAUACACCCUGCGUGUUUGUGUGUACAUUGUAUACUAUGUGUGCAGGCGGGGGGAGACGUAUGUAUAGCAUCAGUAUAUUACCUACCCGCUGUGUGUAUUGACACAAUAUGACAUACUCUGUAUGUUUGUAUGUGUGUGAGCACGUGUGUGAGAAAGUGUCAACAUAUUAUAUAUACCAUGUGCAUAGACAAUGUGUUACACGCCCCGGGGGUGUGAUCCCCGCUCUUUGUGUUAGGUACGGGUGUGAAGUGUGUCUGUACGCUGACAGUGAGUUACACGCCCCGGGGGUGUGAUCCACGCUCUGUGUGUUAGGUACGGGUGUGGGGUGUGUCUGUACGUUGACAGUGUGUUACAUGCCCCGGGGGUGUGAUCCACGCUCUGUGUGUUAGGUAUGGGUGUGGGGUGUGUCUGUACACUGACAGUGUGUUACACGCCCCGGGGGUGUGAUCCACGCUCUGUAUGUUAGUUACGGGUGUGAGGUGUGUCUGUACACUCAGUGUGUUACACGCCCCGGGGGUGUGAUCCACGCUCUGUGUGUUAGGUACGGGUGUGAGGUGUGUCCGUACGCUGACAGUGUGUUGCACGCCCCGGGGGUGUGAUCCAUGCUCUGUGUGUCAGGUACGGGUGUGGGGUGUGUCUGUACGCUGACAGUGUGUUGCACGCCCCAGGGGUGUGAUCCACGCUCUGUGUGUUAGUUACGGGUGUGAGGUGUGUCUG
Long non-coding RNA from Gopherus flavomarginatus (Mexican gopher tortoise), 2113 nucleotides. RefSeq lists it as uncharacterized. The record is from RefSeq and is a predicted model, not a curated record. The transcript is spliced from 5 exons. Lineage: Eukaryota; Metazoa; Chordata; Testudines; Testudinidae.